UACUAACUAGGUUGGGAUUGGAGGCCCUCUAAUUAAUUUUGGUGGGAAUCUCGUCGGCAUGAACUUCUAUGAUGGGCAUGAAGAAACUCCUUUCCUGCCAAGGAGUAAGGUUGUCGACGUUUUAAAGAAAAAGAUUGGUCUAGCACUAUCAUCGGAAAGAGGAUUGAACCAGCCUGAGGAAAUACAGGGAGGGUGGAAGGAAAAUAGGUGGCCCGUGCCCACGCCAUAUUGGUAUCAUGGUGUACUUGAGGUGGAUAGGUGGAUUUUACCGGACGUUCAUGGAAUGAAUCUCCAAUAGAGAGUCACUCAUGUUGUUGGAUUGAUCUAGAAAGUAUUGACUUCUACUCAUCUUAGCAACUAUCUAAUGGACCUGUAGUGCUGGGUUUAUUCUAUUGGGUUGAUCUAGAAGUAUUUGACAGACAGUACAACUGA
Molecule: long non-coding RNA, 432 nt
Organism: Triticum aestivum (bread wheat)
Lineage: Eukaryota; Viridiplantae; Streptophyta; Magnoliopsida; Poales; Poaceae
Exons: 3
Source: RefSeq, a predicted model, not a curated record